This 440-nucleotide ribosomal RNA is filed under the name uncultured bacterium. Its description in RNAcentral is "partial 16S ribosomal RNA". It matches the Rfam family "Bacterial small subunit ribosomal RNA", at positions 338 to 795 of the family's 1533-position model. The record is from RNAcentral.
CCUACGGGUGGCAGCAGUGGGGAAUAUUGCACAAUGGGGGAAACCCUGAUGCAGCGACGCCGCGUGAGCGAUGAAGUAUUUCGGUAUGUAAAGCUCUAUCAGCAGGGAAGAAGAUGACGGUACCUGACUAAGAAGCCCCGGCUAACUACGUGCCAGCAGCCGCGGUAAUACGUAGGGGGCAAGCGUUAUCCGGAUUUACUGGGUGUAAAGGGAGUGUAGACGGCGAUGCAAGCCAGAUGUGAAAGCCCGGGGCUCAACCCCGGGACUGCAUUUGGAACUGCGUGGCUGGAGUGCAGGAGGGGCAGGCGGAAUUCCUGGUGUAGCGGUGAAAUGCGUAGAUAUCAGGAGGAACACCGGUGGCGAAGGCGGCCUGCUGGACUGCAACUGACGUUGAGGCCCGAAAGCGUGGGGAGCAAACAGGAUUAGAUACCCGAGUAGUC